RNAcentral lists this long non-coding RNA (966 nucleotides) under Mus musculus (house mouse). RNAcentral describes it as "long non-coding RNA chr15:26443325-26444291". Lineage: Eukaryota; Metazoa; Chordata; Mammalia; Rodentia; Muridae. The record is from RNAcentral.
AUCUCUGUCCACCUCUCUGCCCCUCUCCUUCCCUUCUCCUUCUCUUAAUCCAUACCUUAUUCUCUCUCCCUCUUUCUCCUUUGGUGUGUGUGUGUAUGUAUGUGGUAUGUACAUGUAUGUGUGUACUUAUGAUGAAACAUUCACCCAUGCAUGCAUACGUGAAUGCCAGGUGAUGAUAUUUAAUGUCUUUCCCUGUUACUUUGCACUUCAGUUUUCCAAGAUAAGGUUUCUUAUAGAGUCCACAGUUCAUGGUUUUCGCUAGAGCGGCUGGCCAGUGGGCUCCUGUGACCCACUUGUGUCAGUUCUGGGCCUCAGCACUGGGUUUCCAGGCUAUUUUUAAUGUGGGUUCUACUGACAUGAACUCAGAGCCUCAUGUUUGCACAAGCAUUUUACCCACUGAGCCGUCUCCAGCUCAGGAACCUGGACUCUGCACAGGUUGCCUUAGUUGCCCCUUCUUCUAUUAUUAAGCUUUCAAGAUCCCACCUUGUAGAUUAGACUUUGCGUGUCCUUAUUACUUCUGCCUUGGCUGCUGCCACAUCUGACUACUAAUCUUAUUUGAAAGACAUCAUUUUUCUUGUCGACACUAUUUUCUUCUGUAUUGUCAAUUUUCUCUUUCCUUCCUCAAAAACCUCAGACAAUCUAAUGGGUCUAGCUUGAGAACAGAAAGAGUUACCUUCAUUCUUGGUAGACUGCUGAAUAUUUUCUGGAUGUGAGACAAGUAGAUAUCAUUCUACCAGGAAUCCAAUAGUGACCAACGUGUGCCAUCAGAUUCACCCCUUCCUCAAGAGAUUUCAAGUAAGUGCAAUUACAGGGCAGUGGUUUACAUAUAGAAGGUAUAAUAGCACUAGAGUAAAGGCAUUAUUCCCCAACCCCAGGGAAAAGUGUUUAACUUCCAGACAAUUGUGAGCCUCAUAAUCCAAUAACAAGAUGAGGCCCAUUGGACUUGCAAACUUUAUAUGCCCCAGU